This 1699-nucleotide ribosomal RNA is filed under the name Salmonella enterica. Its description in RNAcentral is "partial 23S ribosomal RNA". It matches the Rfam family "Bacterial large subunit ribosomal RNA", at positions 1121 to 2803 of the family's 2925-position model. The record is from RNAcentral. Lineage: Bacteria; Pseudomonadati; Pseudomonadota; Gammaproteobacteria; Enterobacterales; Enterobacteriaceae.
AUUUAAAGAAAGCGUAAUAGCUCACUGGUCGAGUCGGCCUGCGCGGAAGAUGUAACGGGGCUAAACUAUGCACCGAAGCUGCGGCAGCGACACUAUGUGUUGUUGGGUAGGGGAGCGUUCUGUAAGCCUGUGAAGGUGUGUCGUGAGGCAUGCUGGAGGUAUCAGAAGUGCGAAUGCUGACAUAAGUAACGAUAAAGCGGGUGAAAAGCCCGCUCGCCGGAAGACCAAGGGUUCCUGUCCAACGUUAAUCGGGGCAGGGUGAGUCGACCCCUAAGGCGAGGCCGAAAGGCGUAGUCGAUGGGAAACGGGUUAAUAUUCCCGUACUUGGUGUUACUGCGAAGGGGGGACGGAGAAGGCUAUGUUGGCCGGGCGACGGUUGUCCCGGUUUAAGCGUGUAGGUGUGUGUUCCAGGUAAAUCCGGUUCACUUUAACACUGAGGCGUGAUGACGAGGCACUACGGUGCUGAAGCAACAAAUGCCCUGCUUCCAGGAAAAGCCUCUAAGCAUCAGGUAACAUCAAAUCGUACCCCAAACCGACACAGGUGGUCAGGUAGAGAAUACCAAGGCGCUUGAGAGAACUCGGGUGAAGGAACUAGGCAAAAUGGUGCCGUAACUUCGGGAGAAGGCACGCUGACACGUAGGUGAAGUGAUUUACUCAUGGAGCUGAAGUCAGUCGAAGAUACCAGCUGGCUGCAACUGUUUAUUAAAAACACAGCACUGUGCAAACACGAAAGUGGACGUAUACGGUGUGACGCCUGCCCGGUGCCGGAAGGUUAAUUGAUGGGGUCAGCGCAAGCGAAGCUCCUGAUCGAAGCCCCGGUAAACGGCGGCCGUAACUAUAACGGUCCUAAGGUAGCGAAAUUCCUUGUCGGGUAAGUUCCGACCUGCACGAAUGGCGUAAUGAUGGCCAGGCUGUCUCCACCCGAGACUCAGUGAAAUUGAACUCGCUGUGAAGAUGCAGUGUACCCGCGGCAAGACGGAAAGACCCCGUGAACCUUUACUAUAGCUUGACACUGAACAUUGAGCCUUGAUGUGUAGGAUAGGUGGGAGGCUUUGAAGUGUGGACGCCAGUCUGCAUGGAGCCGACCUUGAAAUACCACCCUUUAAUGUUUGAUGUUCUAACGUGGACCCGUGAUCCGGGUUGCGGACAGUGUCUGGUGGGUAGUUUGACUGGGGCGGUCUCCUCCUAAAGAGUAACGGAGGAGCACGAAGGUUGGCUAAUCCUGGUCGGACAUCAGGAGGUUAGUGCAAUGGCAUAAGCCAGCUUGACUGCGAGCGUGACGGCGCGAGCAGGUGCGAAAGCAGGUCAUAGUGAUCCGGUGGUUCUGAAUGGAAGGGCCAUCGCUCAACGGAUAAAAGGUACUCCGGGGAUAACAGGCUGAUACCGCCCAAGAGUUCAUAUCGACGGCGGUGUUUGGCACCUCGAUGUCGGCUCAUCACAUCCUGGGGCUGAAGUAGGUCCCAAGGGUAUGGCUGUUCGCCAUUUAAAGUGGUACGCGAGCUGGGUUUAGAACGUCGUGAGACAGUUCGGUCCCUAUCUGCCGUGGGCGCUGGAGAACUGAGGGGGGCUGCUCCUAGUACGAGAGGACCGGAGUGGACGCAUCACUGGUGUUCGGGUUGUCAUGCCAAUGGCACUGCCCGGUAGCUAAAUGCGGAAGAGAUAAGUGCUGAAAGCAUCUAAGCACGAAACUUGCCCCGAG